RNAcentral lists this transfer RNA (73 nucleotides) under Acidobacteriota bacterium. Its description in RNAcentral is "Acidobacteria bacterium (soil metagenome) tRNA-Leu". It matches the Rfam family "tRNA". Rfam says of the family: Transfer RNA (tRNA) molecules are approximately 80 nucleotides in length. Their secondary structure includes four short double-helical elements and three loops (D, anti-codon, and T loops). Lineage: Bacteria; Pseudomonadati; Acidobacteriota. The record is from RNAcentral.
GCUCGCGUAGCCCAACGGCAGAGGCGACAGUCUUAAACAUUGUUCAGUGAAAGUUCAAAUCUUUCCACGCGCA